Molecule: long non-coding RNA, 1512 nt
Filed under: Hordeum vulgare
Lineage: Eukaryota; Viridiplantae; Streptophyta; Magnoliopsida; Poales; Poaceae
Description: long non-coding RNA (HVUL_LNC019353)
Source: RNAcentral
GCAAUGAUAGACGAGAUCAUCUUGCCCGAGAUCUCGCUUGGAAGAAGAAUGUAUCCAUGAAGUAGACGAACCAACGUAGUCCAACGAAUCCUCACACUCCAAAGCGGUUUGGAACUCUGUCGAGAAGAAAUAAUCUGAAAACAAACAAUCAACACAUUAUAAACACCACAACAUAUGCAUGACAUUCGAACGAAUCCUCAUACUCCCAAGCGGUUCGGAACUCUACCGAGAAGAAAUAGGCUGAAAACAAUCAAUCAACACAUGAUAAACACCACAACAUAUGCAUGACAUGAUGCAAAACACAUAUGAUGCAUGUUCGGUUUAGUUAUGCAAGGCAUGACACUCACAACAAUCAAAUACUACACAUUCAGUGAAGCUCAAUAUACAACAAGAUGCAUAUUGAUGAAACUCCACAUUUUGAUUACUUAGUUCACUCUCGUAUAGCUACACGACCGUGUUAAAUGUUGUUAAACAUGUCAAGAGGUGAACCAUAAAUAAACUACACUAUCUAGGCAUUUCAAAUGAGGUCGGAAACAACAUAUAGCAUUUUCGAAUGACCCCAUAUGUUAAUUUUGAAAUUGGUCCAGAUCUGAACUAAAGAUGUUUUAUAUCUAUUAAACAUCAAAAUAAAGUGGUCCAUGUGAUUCUAAACUUCAUUCUAGUUGAUUUACAUAUAUAUAUCAUUUAAAACGAAGAUAAGGUCUAAAAGAUAUGAUCCUCACAAGAUAAUAUGUCAUGAAUCCAAAAUGUAUGCAAAUAACAGCCACAAGCAUGUUUUCUUGGAUGCAAAAAGAUAUUCCAAAACUAUAUGAAAUUCUAGGCAAGUUAAAUAAGGCCGGAAUAACGAAUAACAAUUCCGUAAAGUCCCCAUAUGCAAAUUAAGUUUUUUGUAUUUUUCUGCCUCUAACAGAAUUUUAGAGUUGUUAAACAUUAAAAUAAAUGCCACCAUGUUAUUCUACAUAUUUUUCUAGUCAAGUUACAUAAGUGUAUCAUUUUAAUCAGAGCUAUGGUUAAUUAGUUAUGAAUUCAAUCGUUUUAACAUGUCAUUUAUGCAAAUUAAAUGAAAACAUCAAGUUAAAUAUUUUAAACAUGCAUGAAAGUUGAAAAUUAUUAAUCUACACAAAAUUCUACAUAUUUUACAUAUCUAAAUUAUUCUAAUCGGAUGUAGAGUUUUCAAUCAUGCAUUUUUUUGUAAUUAAAAAUGCAUUGGCUAAUUGACAAAUUUGCAAAGAUGAAAAAGGUCAACGGGCCAAAUCUGCUACUACUCGGCAAACGAUCUGGGCGUCAUAUAACAAUACAGCGCACGCGGCACAGAAUAACGUGGCCGGGCAGAACUCACUUUGGGUCAGGCCUUAGGGAGUGGAGCAAGCUCGCGAGCAAGGGGAAGUUGGCUCACCUAGUGGGCCUUGGACCGAGCUCGGUGGCGAGACAGGCCGAUGCGAGGGGAGGCGUCAUUGGCCUUGGGUGGCGCGACCCAAAUAAGCGCAUGUAGGGGCGAGGCGAGCGUCGUCU